UCCCUUCAAAUUUUAACUCAAAAUCGAAUUAGAAUUAGGGUUUACUUGCUGCCCUUCCCCCUUUCUUGUUAUUUAUUCUCAAACCCGAACACAAACAUGCCUGAUGUCUCCACUCUUCAGUCACCAGCCCACCACACGGCGUCGGCGGCCACUCUCUUCAGCCCUUAAGAUCCGCCACUGAUGGAGGUUGGUGAAAGGUUGAUGGGCGAUUGUGUAAACGGGGUAGGUAUCGAAUUGUCGGUGUGUGGGAAGUUAGUAUACAAACGAUUCUCAAGAUACGAUGCAUAACUCGCUUCAACGGGCAUAGAAGAGUGUAUGAAAAAUGGAUGAGGCAUUGGACGAUUGGGUGGUGGGCUAGGAUUAUUUUCUUAGAAUGCAUACGGGUUGUUCGGGUCAUAAGCACGGUUAUAAGGAUGCAUUUUUUCGUUUUGUAAAAGGAGAAUUGAAGAUGAUUAUAGAAGAUGUGGUUGAAUGUGGUA
RNAcentral lists this long non-coding RNA (479 nucleotides) under Helianthus annuus (common sunflower). RNAcentral's name for it is "sRNA HanXRQr2_Chr07g0296711". The record is from RNAcentral. Lineage: Eukaryota; Viridiplantae; Streptophyta; Magnoliopsida; Asterales; Asteraceae.